Molecule: ribosomal RNA, 250 nt
Filed under: uncultured bacterium
Lineage: Bacteria
Description: partial 16S ribosomal RNA
Rfam family: Bacterial small subunit ribosomal RNA
Source: RNAcentral
UAGAUACCCUGGUAGUCCGCACAGUAAACGAUGUACACUAGGUGUUGGGGCAAGAGCUUCAGUGCCUAAGCAAACGCAAUAAGUGUACCGCCUGGGAAGUAUGCCCGCAAGGGUGAAACUCAAAGGAAUUGACGGGGGCCCACACAAGCGGUGGAGCAUGUGGUUUAAUUCGAUGAUACGCGAGGAACCUUACCUGGGUUUGACAUCAAGAGCAAUACUAUAGAGAUAUGGUAGCGUAGCAAUACGGCUC